AAGAUGAACGCUAGCUACAGGCUAACACAUGCAAGUCAGGGGCAGCAUAACGAAAGCUUGCUUUGUUGAUGGCGACCGGCGCACGGGUGAGUAACGCGUAUCCAACCUUCCCCAUAGUAGAGAAUAGCCCGGCGAAAGUCGGAUUAAUGCUCUAUGUUGUAUCAUGAGGACAUCUGAAUAAUACCAAAGGUUCACCGCUAUGGGAUGGGGAUGCGUCUGAUUAGGUUGUUGGCGGGGUAACGGCCCACCAAGCCCACGAUCCAGUAGGGGUUCUGAGAGGAAGGUCCCCCACAUUGGAACUGAGACACGGUCCAAACUCCUACGGGAGGCAGCAGUGAGGAAUAUUGGUCAAUGGACGGAGGUCUGAACCAGCCAAGUAGCCGUGCAGGAUGACGGCCCUAUGGGUUGUAAACUGCUUUUAUACAGGGAUAAAGUGAGGGACGUGUCCCUUUUUGUAGGUACUGUAUGAAUAAGGACCGGCUAAUUCCGUGCCAGCAGCCGC
RNAcentral lists this ribosomal RNA (502 nucleotides) under uncultured bacterium. RNAcentral describes it as "bacterial SSU rRNA". It matches the Rfam family "Bacterial small subunit ribosomal RNA", at positions 26 to 518 of the family's 1533-position model. The record is from RNAcentral.